AGGUUCCCAAUGUUAAUCCAAGUCUCUGCCAACAAUGAGUCUGUCCUUUCUCACUGUCUCUCUGGUCUCCAUCCUCUGGCCCUGUCUGUCACUGGGAGCUUUGGUGACUCAGGUGCCGCGGACAGUCACAGCCAGAGAGGGGGACACAGUUACUUUAAAUUGUCACCAGAAGGACACAGCCUAUCAAACAAUGCUCUGGUACCUACAACCCCAUCAGGGAGGCCUCACAUUGAUUGGAUACGGUUAUUUGUCAAACCCAACGAUGGAGGAUGCUUACAAACUUGAGUACGAAGUUAAACAGACAGAUGACUAUAAGAACUGUUCCCUGGAGAUCAAGAAGGCAACCCAGGAGGGGGUGUAUUACUGCGCUGCGAGAGAAGGGCACAGCGUGAGAGAGAGACAGAUCUCUCGUACAUAAACCUCACACAGGAUACACAACCACUCGAUUCUAUACACACACACACACACC
Non-coding RNA from Callorhinchus milii (elephant shark), 469 nucleotides. The record is from the annotation of a RefSeq genome assembly. Lineage: Eukaryota; Metazoa; Chordata; Chondrichthyes; Chimaeriformes; Callorhinchidae.